GAUGUUUAUGGUGCAAAACCU
Molecule: non-coding RNA, 21 nt
Filed under: Arabidopsis thaliana (thale cress)
Lineage: Eukaryota; Viridiplantae; Streptophyta; Magnoliopsida; Brassicales; Brassicaceae
Source: RNAcentral